RNAcentral lists this ribosomal RNA (843 nucleotides) under Triticum aestivum (bread wheat). RNAcentral describes it as "partial small subunit ribosomal RNA". The record is from RNAcentral. Lineage: Eukaryota; Viridiplantae; Streptophyta; Magnoliopsida; Poales; Poaceae.
AUGCAUCUCGCCGCCGACUACCCCCACCGCGGCGGUGGCCGCCUCGGCCUAGGGCCAUUCGCGGCAGCGGUGCUCCGCACCGACAACCGUCGCCGUGCGAUUGCAGGCGGCGCGGUCCUCGCCUCGGCGCUGCUUCUCGUGGCCACACCACGACUCCGCCACUCGCCGGCGCUCCACCUCUUCGCCGACAUGCGCAACCUCCUCGGCGUGCCCAACACCCUCAACGUGCUCACCGCCUACCCGCUUCUCCUUGCUGGAGUACCAGGACUCAUCCUGUGCCUCUUCGGCGGUGGAUGCUUCGGCAUAAGCUUAAGGUGGGAGGCCUUGGGAUGGUUCCUCUUCUAUGUGGGGAAUGUAGGGGCAGCAUUUGGCUCAGCUUACUAUCACCUCAAGCCAGAUGAUGACCGGUUAAUUUGGGACAGGUUGCCGAUGAUGAUGUCGGCCUCCUCGCUUUUGUCGAUAUUGGUAAUUGAAAGAGUUGAUGAGAGGGCUGGGUUAUCUUGUUUGAUCUCGCUCUUGUCUCUUUUACUGGUGAGCAGUGCGUGUGAAAGGAUUCUUGAUGAUAUGCGCCUGUGGGUAGUUUUAAACCUGGUUCCUUGUGUUGCCAUUCCUGCAAUGCUAUUCUUGUUCGCGCCAAAGUAUACACACUCAAGAUUUUGGUUUCUUGCUACAGGCUUUUACCUUCUGGCAAGAUUCGAAGGCCUUGCCGACAGAAAGGUUUACAGUGUGAAUAGAUAUUUCAUUAGCGGUCAUUCCUUGGAGCACCUUUGCUUCGCCAUGGUUACAUUGAUACUUACUGUGAUGCUAUCCUUCAGAAAUAUUAAGAUCACCAGGGACUCGUGA